GCGGCACGGCGAAGACGAUGACGGGGUCGACGAGGCUCAUGGACGGUGGGAUCCUUGCCUAGGACGACGCGAAGGCGGCGGGCGGCGGCGGAGCUUCGGUUCGAUGACGCCGGUGAGCUGCGGUGCGCAAAAGAAGAAGGGAACCGUGUCACGACGUGCGCGAGAGAGAGAGGAGUAGGGGGGUGCAAUUGGCAGCGAGAUUGACUCACCCGUUCGUCAGCAGCGACCAAGAAUCGCGGCGGCGUCCCCGCGGCUCGGGCGACCAAUGUCGUCGGUGUGGGCGCAUGCGAGAGGGGGCGAGCAGAGGGGAAGAAGAGAGGAGGGGCGGGGCUUUAUAGGGGCGCUCUCGGUUUGCUUCGGGAAGGCCGGGAUCAACGGGGCGGCGAUGGCGGCACUUUUCAUCCAGGUGGCCCCCCCCUCUCAGUGGCUGCGGGCGCGCGCACGUAGCGGGGCCGGCUCGGCCCGGUUUGGGUGCGGGCGAAGCGGCGCCGGUUAGGCCCAUUUGGCCGGGCCGGUCCGGUUUCUUCCUUUUUUUUUUCUUUUAGCCUUUUCUUUUUCCUUUUUUCUCAUUUCUUUGAUGUCUUUUGAUUUUGAACUCCAAAUUAGCCCAAAUAAAUUCCCGAAAAUUUGUAAAAUCAUGUUCUAUCAUGAUUCAACUUUUGGGAGUAAUUUCCCCUCAAAAUAAAAUAUCUAAAAACACAUUUGCCCUAUAAAUGCCUUUAGGGUUAUAACUAUUUAAAUAAAGCAGUUUUUCAACUCCAAAUAAUUAUCCAAAAAUUAUAGGAUAGCUUAUUUAUGCAAUAAAACCCAUUUAUAGUUAAACCCUAUUGGUUUGAAGAUCCAAAGCUCAAAUGGGUGAAAACCUAGGGUUUAUAUUGAAAUAAAAUCUUUUAAAGCCUU
This 900-nucleotide long non-coding RNA is filed under the name Brachypodium distachyon (stiff brome). RNAcentral's name for it is "long non-coding RNA (BDIS_LNC005580)". Lineage: Eukaryota; Viridiplantae; Streptophyta; Magnoliopsida; Poales; Poaceae. The record is from RNAcentral.